CAGUGAGUCUAAUAAUAGAAGCGUUAGCAGUGUGGACGAGCUGAACCUGGGUCGUUUGUGUAACCAGCGAGGAUGAUUAACUGGCGGGCUUUGGAAAAUGUUCCCAUAUUGCUCUACAUCCUGGCGGCGAAGACCAUCCUCCUGUGUCUCGCCUUCGCCGGGGCCAAACUGUACCAGCAGAAGAAAGCCGAGGCCGCCCUGAAACAGCAGGUCGAGCUGAGGAGGAAACUCGCCCGACAGACUCAGGAGCUCAUCGACAACAAGAAGGACGACUGAACCCGCGAAAGCAGAAGGAAGGACGUCCGACCUCACCAGCCAUGCAGCAUAUCAGCAAAAUGAAAGCCAGCCGUAAACAGCAGAACCGCGACCCAGAUCAGUCACACAGCAACAGAAAAUCAUAACCACUUAUCUGGAUGCACAUCGCCGUGUCGCACCACUCCCUUACAGAAACAGCGAAGCGACCGGACAGAUCCGCAGACGUUCAGCUUCCCUAAAGCUAAUAAUGUGCCUUAAUACAUGUUUACUGUAAUGUUUUAUUUAUUAUUUAUAAUGUAUGUAUAUUAAAAAACACAUUUUUACAGUUA
Molecule: RNA transcript, 584 nt
Organism: Trichomycterus rosablanca
Lineage: Eukaryota; Metazoa; Chordata; Actinopteri; Siluriformes; Trichomycteridae
Gene name: small integral membrane protein 11-like
Exons: 4
Source: RefSeq, a predicted model, not a curated record